AGAGUUUGAUCCUGGCUCAGGACGAACGCUGGCGGCGUGCCUAAUACAUGCAAGUCGAGCGAACAAGGAAGAAACUUGUUUCUUCCUUUGUUAGCGGCGGAUGGGUGAGUAACACGUGGGCAACCUGCCCUGCAGUUGGGGAUAACUCCGGGAAACCGGGGCUAAUACCGAAUAAUCAGUUCCUUCGCAUGAAGGAACUCUGAAAGACGGCUAUGCUGUCACUGCAGGAUGGGCCCGCGGCGCAUUAGCUAGUUGGUGAGGUAACGGCUUACCAAGGCGACGAUGCGUAGCCGACCUGAGAGGGUGAUCGGCCACACUGGGACUGAGACACGGCCCAGACUCCUACGGGAGGCAGCAGUAGGGAAUCUUCCACAAUGGACGAAAGUCUGAUGGAGCAACGCCGCGUGAGCGAAGAAGGUUUUCGGAUCGUAAAGCUCUGUUGUGAGGGAAGAACAAGUACAGGAGUAACUGCCUGUACCUUGACGGUACCUCAUUAGAAAGCCACGGCUAACUACGUGCCAGCAGCCGCGGUAAUACGUAGGUGGCAAGCGUUGUCCGGAAUUAUUGGGCGUAAAGCGCGCGCAGGCGGCCUUUUAAGUCUGAUGUGAAAGCCCACGGCUUAACCGUGGAAGGUCAUUGGAAACUGGAAGGCUUGAGUACAGAAGAGGAAAGCGGAAUUCCACGUGUAGCGGUGAAAUGCGUAGAGAUGUGGAGGAACACCAGUGGCGAA
RNAcentral lists this ribosomal RNA (730 nucleotides) under uncultured bacterium. Its description in RNAcentral is "bacterial SSU rRNA". It matches the Rfam family "Bacterial small subunit ribosomal RNA", at positions 8 to 719 of the family's 1533-position model. The record is from RNAcentral.